Molecule: ribosomal RNA, 119 nt
Filed under: Triticum aestivum (bread wheat)
Lineage: Eukaryota; Viridiplantae; Streptophyta; Magnoliopsida; Poales; Poaceae
Source: RNAcentral
GGAUGCGAUCAUACCAGCACUAAAGCACCGGAUCCCAUCCGAACUCCGAAGUUAAGCGUGAUUGGGCGAGAGUAGUACUAGGAUGGGUGACCUCCUGGGAAGUCCUCGUGUUGCAUUCC